RNAcentral lists this long non-coding RNA (473 nucleotides) under Vitis vinifera (wine grape). RNAcentral describes it as "long non-coding RNA (VVIN_LNC005058)". Lineage: Eukaryota; Viridiplantae; Streptophyta; Magnoliopsida; Vitales; Vitaceae. The record is from RNAcentral.
ACUGCACCACUUCGUGCUCUCUCUCUCGAACACUCUCUGUCUGGAUUCAAGAUCAGUCACAGCCUUCCUUUUCCAUCCUCAAUUCUAGUACAAGAACAAUAAGUUUAUGUCUACGCCACAUGAUACAAAACUGACUUCCAUCAGAUUGGUAAGAAAAGUAGAAGACUUCAGAGGAAUCAUAUACAUCUGCUGCAGAAUCACGCUCUACCAAUGCCAUCAAAACUCACUGAUUUUUGGGUGACUCAAAAUUCUUUGGCAACUCCUUCACUUGCUCAGCAAGUUCCUGCCUCUUCUGUGCAGCCUUAUUUGAGAUAUCUUCCAUCCUUCUGGAUAUCCUCACGGCAAAUCUCUGAAAAGCAGGGCUGUUGGCAAGACUGUUUACAAGGACCUCAUUCACAACAUAAGAUAUAACCCUGUGCAUGAAAUUCCCUCCAGCCAUGAGAGUUUCAAAAUCAGCUACUGAGAAUACGAUA